Arachis stenosperma is the source of this 2147-nucleotide RNA transcript. RefSeq lists it as uncharacterized. The record is from RefSeq and is a predicted model, not a curated record. The transcript has 8 exons. Lineage: Eukaryota; Viridiplantae; Streptophyta; Magnoliopsida; Fabales; Fabaceae.
CAAAGUAGGGUAAUGUUUUGUGUAUCUAUCUAGAAUAAAAAAAUUAAAACGGUAACACACGUUACAUUCUCCCCUCAUCUUUUCCCUCUGUUAUCUCUCUUUCGCUUCAACGCGUGCCGUCCUCUCUGUUUGUCUUUUGAAACCCUAAAUCCAACCUUCCCCUUCUUUUUUUCAUUGAUAGCCAACUCACUCCUCCUGCUCUGGAUAAUCUCUGGCCAUUCACGCUCUGUUUAUCGCUCUCCCUGUCUCCCAAAUUCUCAUUUCCGUUUUUGUCAACCUCUAUCUGGAAACCCUAACCCAUCGAGCUAAGCGGAGAGAUGCUGAGAGACUGAGAUCUCUGUUGCGGGCUUCACAUGCUCACGAAGAGCAUUAUCCCUGCGGCUUGCUUCAAGGCAACUGAGGAAUCGCAUCCCACUUCCUCGGCAACGGCGGUUGCAGUUACAAAGGUCCAAUCAUCAUCUUUUCAAGCGUCUUCAUUGUCGAUUGGGUUCAUGGAAAAGGAUCAUGGAACAAAUUUUUUUGGUCUGAUUUGUCAGAUUCAUUUAAAGAUCGGUGGUAGUUCUCAAGAGGAAAUCAGCCUAGGGUUCAUGUCACUCUGCCUCUCUCUUAUCUUGGGAAACAACAAGUUAGGUGGGAAUUUUUACGGCGGCCCUGUCCUUACUCUGUCCCCUUCCAUCAUGUGGUGUAGAUGAAACAAAUGAACUAUGCUUAGUGUCAACUGAUUCAGAAAAGCUCUUCUCUAAUCUCACCCCUGGAAGGAAUGUUGGAAGAUAACACUCAAAAUCAUCAGAAUGUGGAUUUUAAUUGAUCAUAGGGAGGAGAAUGAAUAACAUGCUUUUCUUCGGCUUCUGAUAAUGGAUAAAGAAAUUUAAUCAUGCUGGAUCAGAUGCUUUUUGAACUUGGCUUUAACUAAAAGUUUUAUAUGAUGUUGACUAGAAACAUAAAUUGAGUUUACUACUACACAUGUGUGGAGUGUAAGUGUUGAUAUUUCCUUAUCUUAUUUGUUAUCAGUUUUAGUGUGUUCUUUGGGGCUUUUAUUUGUAUGUGAAAAUUCUAAAAUAUCUUCAAUUUCCUAACUGAUUUAAGGUGCUAGAAAUGACAUGCUUUAAAGUUUCUCAAAUAAAUUUGUACUCAUAAGAAGGUCUCAAAUUUCUGUAUAAUUUGUUCUUACUUUUGGUUAAUGAUUUGGACCCUUUUUUCCGGGUGUGAAAAUUCUGAAAUUGUGUUUGACUGUGUGUUCUCGGUUUUCUUUUGUUGUUUGUAGAUUUUAUUCCGAGCCGAAAAUGCUGGAAUAAUUACAAUAACACCAAGUGUAGUAUUUGCGUGAUGGAUGACGAUUUGCUUUUGAUGGUCUGCUCUGGUGUUUGCAGUGGCGGCAGUGGCUCUACUAGCUCAUAUUAUCAACGUCAGAAAUUGGAAAGGCCAGUUGAACAUACCUGAUCCAGCAGCUUUUGGGUUCAGAGAAGUUGGUUUUUGGCGAAGUUAAGUAAGAUGGUUUUUUUAAUUUUAGAAAAUAAAAAUAUUUUAUUUUUAUAUUAUCAAAGUGGCAAAGUAUUUCCCUUUAGAGUUAUGUUAUCUUUGAUGUUUACAGUAUCUUGGCUUAAACCUGCUGUUUUUUGGCAUAUAUAGUCUUGAAUUUAAUAAGUUUUUAUUUGCAAUGAAACUUGUCACACGGGCAGGAAGAGUGGUAGAAGGAGAGCCUACGAAAAGGACUCAUCUUUAUGAACACCGAUUCUAUCAUGCUAUUUCGCUUUCACUCCCUUGGUGGCUCUCUUUUUAGAUAUGAGGCACGCUUUUCUCCCAACCACACACCUGCGGAAGGAAGCACCGUAGCAAUGGCCUUUGGAAAAGGGUCAAAAAAGGCGGCUAUUACACACGAUCCAAAGUUACACAGGAAGGACAACCCUGUAGAUUUGGAAAAUGAUAAAAAAAUUGGUCAAAAAAAGCGGCAAACGUACACAGAGGGAGGACAGUUGCUGUUUUGUUAGAAAAACAAUUACUAUUUAAUAAAUUAAUGUUAAUUAAUCUACUGCAAUCUUUUUAAUUAAUUUCCUAUGGCAUCUGACCACAUAGUAGCCGUCAGUUUUUGCCUCCCAAAUCUUGAUCUCACCUGUCAAAUAAUAUAUGGAGGAAAUAUAUUGGAAUCA